This is a non-coding RNA of Proteus penneri ATCC 35198, 130 nucleotides long. The record is from Rfam. Lineage: Bacteria; Pseudomonadati; Pseudomonadota; Gammaproteobacteria; Enterobacterales; Morganellaceae.
CCAUCAUCACCAUCACCCUGACUAGUCUUUCAGGCGAUGAGUGCUGGAAGACGUUUAAGAAACGCUUCCGGUGGUCUGAAUGCAGAUAACAACUAAAACCCCGGAAGGCAACUUCCGGGGUUUUUUUAUA